This 71-nucleotide transfer RNA is filed under the name Neotoma lepida (desert woodrat). It matches the Rfam family "tRNA". Rfam says of the family: Transfer RNA (tRNA) molecules are approximately 80 nucleotides in length. Their secondary structure includes four short double-helical elements and three loops (D, anti-codon, and T loops). Lineage: Eukaryota; Metazoa; Chordata; Mammalia; Rodentia; Cricetidae. The record is from Rfam by way of RNAcentral.
UCUCUGGUGACCUAGUGGUAGGAUUUGGUGCUCUCACCACUGUAGCCUGGGUUCACUUCCUGGCCAGAGAA